RNAcentral lists this ribosomal RNA (424 nucleotides) under uncultured bacterium. Its description in RNAcentral is "bacterial SSU rRNA". It matches the Rfam family "Bacterial small subunit ribosomal RNA", at positions 355 to 796 of the family's 1533-position model. The record is from RNAcentral.
UGGGGAAUAUUGGACAAUGGGGGAAACCCUGAUCCAGCAAUGCCGCGUGGGUGAAGAAGGUCUUCGGAUUGUAAAGCCCUUUUGGCAGGGACGAUGAUGACGGUACCUGCAGAAUAAGCCCCGGCUAACUUCGUGCCAGCAGCCGCGGUAAUACGAAGGGGGCUAGCGUUGCUCGGAAUGACUGGGCGUAAAGGGCGCGUAGGCGGCUUGUACAGUCAGAUGUGAAAUUCCUGGGCUCAACCUGGGGACUGCAUUUGAGACGUAUGGGCUUGAGUGGAGAAGAGGGUCGUGGAAUUUCCAGUGUAGAGGUGAAAUUCGUAGAUAUUGGAAAGAACACCGGUGGCGAAGGCGGCGACCUGGUCUUUAACUGACGCUGAGGCGCGAAAGCGUGGGGAGCAAACAGGAUUAGAUACCCCCGUAGUCC